Molecule: non-coding RNA, 110 nt
Organism: Actinomyces sp. oral taxon 414
Lineage: Bacteria; Bacillati; Actinomycetota; Actinomycetes; Actinomycetales; Actinomycetaceae
Source: Rfam
AUCACCGCCGGACGGACGGGGGUCGCGAGGGUUGGGGAACCCGAUGACCGCCCUCGUCCGAGAUGACCCAGGGUCCAGGGAGCCCCGGGCCGGUCGCUCCGGCGAAGGAG